GAGUUUGAUCGUGGCUCAGAUUGAACGCUGGCGGCAUGCUUUACACAUGCAAGUCGAACGGUAACGCGGGGGCAACCCUGGCGACGAGUGGCGAACGGGUGAGUAAUACAUCGGAACGUGUCCUGGAGUGGGGGAUAGCUCGGCGAAAGCCGGAUUAAUACCGCAUACGCUCUGAGGAGGAAAGCGGGGGACCUUCGGGCCUCGCGCUGCGGGAGCGGCCGAUGUCGGAUUAGCUAGUUGGUGGGGUAAAGGCCUACCAAGGCGACGAUCCGUAGCUGGUCUGAGAGGAUGAUCAGCCACACUGGGACUGAGACACGGCCCAGACUCCUACGGGAGGCAGCAGUGGGGAAUUUUGGACAAUGGGGGCAACCCUGAUCCAGCCAUGCCGCGUGAGUGAAGAAGGCCUUCGGUUGUAAG
This 417-nucleotide ribosomal RNA is filed under the name uncultured beta proteobacterium. RNAcentral describes it as "bacterial SSU rRNA". It matches the Rfam family "Bacterial small subunit ribosomal RNA", at positions 9 to 429 of the family's 1533-position model. The record is from RNAcentral. Lineage: Bacteria; Pseudomonadati; Pseudomonadota; Betaproteobacteria.